Cyprinus carpio (common carp) is the source of this 933-nucleotide long non-coding RNA. Lineage: Eukaryota; Metazoa; Chordata; Actinopteri; Cypriniformes; Cyprinidae. The record is from Ensembl.
AAAAUGCAAAACAUAAAGACAAAGAACUGUUUGCUGACCUUUUGACCUUUAGAUAAAUAAUCUGGUUGUUAUAUUAUACAAUAUGUGACAUUUUGUUGCUUAUCCACAACAUUCACAGCAUUCGACUGUAGAUCUGUGACCACUGUGUAUUGAAUAACUAGAUAGAACAUAUUGUGGUGUCAUAGGGCCCCAGUGAUCUAAUGGACAAUAGAAUUCCCUACAGGAAGGUGAUGAAGAAAAUAAAGAAUGGGAAAUUAAAGGUUUCAUAUGCUAAUUGCUUUUUGUAUUUAUCUGGUUUUUUUUUUAUUUCAUUUCAAUUUCAUUCAGUGUGCAUUUUGUAAUUUCUCUUUUCAAAACAUGGAUUAAUGAGGAUUUUCUGUCUUUUAGGGCUUGGCAUUUGUACUGUGUUGACUGCAGGAAGUCCACUAGGUCAAAGACUUGUUUAUUGUCAUGGAAAUAGAAACGUUAAUUAGGACAAGGGGUGUCAACUACAAGACCGAGAAGGUAUAUAUGAUUAUAACUUCACACAACCAAUGAGAACUUGUUUCGUAGUUUUGGACAAUUUGCAUACAUGAUAUAAUGAAGGUUUUUUUUUUUUCAGUUUAUAUACCAUAUUCUCCUUUUGUCCUCAGGAUGGAGACUUCUCUAAUGCCAGCUCUCAAGAUGUUUGCUCUGCUUGCAUAUAUUCUUUUGUCUUGCAUAUUAUGUGUAUCUAUGAUCCCCAGUGUUUUUCAGCCAAAUGUCUCAAUCACAGCAUCAGUGGGUGGUUCGGUCAUCCUGGAAUGCCACACAACUGCUGAUCUGGUUGUGGCCUGGUUUUGGCUAAAACAAAUCCCAGGACAAAAGUUGAACCCUAUAGUUUCUACAUAUUACCAGGAGAUAAAACUUCAAGAGGAAUUUCUCAAUGAAUCAAGACUUCAAUUCAAAGUUGAC